This 479-nucleotide ribosomal RNA is filed under the name uncultured bacterium. RNAcentral describes it as "bacterial SSU rRNA". It matches the Rfam family "Bacterial small subunit ribosomal RNA", at positions 15 to 507 of the family's 1533-position model. The record is from RNAcentral.
GAUCAUGGCUCAGGACGAACGCUGGCGGCGUGCUUAACACAUGCAAGUCGAACGGUGACCCAGGGCUUGCCCUGGUGAUCAGUGGCGAACGGGUGAGUAACACGUGGGCAACCUGCCCCUGACUUCGGGAUAACUCCUCGAAAGAGGAGCUAAUACCGGAUACGACCACUUCGGACAUCCGAUGGUGGUGGAAAGUUUUUCGGUCAGGGAUGGGCCCGCGGCCUAUCAGCUAGUUGGUGGGGUAAUGGCCUACCAAGGCGACGACGGGUAGCCGGCCUGAGAGGGCGACCGGCCACACUGGGACUGAGACACGGCCCAGACUCCUACGGGAGGCAGCAGUGGGGAAUAUUGCGCAAUGGGCGAAAGCCUGACGCAGCGACGCCGCGUGAGGGAUGAAGGCUUUCGGGUUGUAAACCUCUUUCAGCAGGGACGAAGCGAAAGUGACGGUACCUGCAGAAGAAGCACCGGCUAACUACGUG